RNAcentral lists this ribosomal RNA (398 nucleotides) under uncultured prokaryote. RNAcentral describes it as "bacterial SSU rRNA". It matches the Rfam family "Bacterial small subunit ribosomal RNA", at positions 495 to 873 of the family's 1533-position model. The record is from RNAcentral.
GGCUAACUACGUGCCAGCAGCCGCGGUAAUACGUAGGUGGCAAGCGUUGUCCGGAAUUAUUGGGCGUAAAGCGCGCGCAGGCGGUUUUUUAAGUCUGAUGUGAAAGCCCCCGGCUCAACCCGGGAGGGUCAUUGGAAACUGGGAAACUUGAGUGCAGAAGAGGAGAGUGGAAUUCCACGUGUAGCGGUGAAAUGCGUAGGAUGUGGAGGAACACCAGUGGCGAAGGCGCCUUUCUGGUCUCUAACUGACGCUGAGGCGCGAAAGCGUGGGGAGCGAACACGAUUAGAUACCCCGGUAGCCACGCCCUAAACGAUGAGUGCAUAAGUGUUAGAGGGUUUCUCCGCCUUCAGUGCGCAGCGUGCGGCGUGAGUCAUCCGCGGUGUACUGGAGCAAAGGGG